GGGUAGUCCAGGGCGCAAACGCUGCUUGCUUGAUGUUAGCUGGGCUCCGAGCUCGGCUAGUGUCGGAGAGAAGUUGUUAAGCAAGUUGCCUGGGAAGUACGAUCGCAAGAUUGAAACUUAAAGGAAUUGGCGGGGGAGCACUACAACGGGUGGAGCCUGCGGUUCAAUUGGAUUCAACGCCGGGAAGCUUACCGGGGGAGACAGCUGGAUGAAGGUCGGGCUGAAGACCCUACCAGACUAGCUGAGAGGUGGUGCAUGGCCGCCGUCAGUUCGUACUGUGAAGCAUCCUGUUAAGUCAGGCAACGAGCGAGACCCGCGCCCUCAGUUGCCAGCGGUUCCCUUCGGGGAAGCCGGGGCACGCUGAGGGGACUGCCGGCGCUAAGCCGGAGGAAGGUGCGGGCAACGGCAGGUCCGUAUGCCCCGAAUCCCCCGGG
RNAcentral lists this ribosomal RNA (434 nucleotides) under uncultured prokaryote. RNAcentral describes it as "bacterial SSU rRNA". It matches the Rfam family "Archaeal small subunit ribosomal RNA", at positions 739 to 1169 of the family's 1478-position model. The record is from RNAcentral.